RNAcentral lists this ribosomal RNA (460 nucleotides) under uncultured bacterium. RNAcentral describes it as "partial 16S ribosomal RNA". It matches the Rfam family "Bacterial small subunit ribosomal RNA", at positions 338 to 795 of the family's 1533-position model. The record is from RNAcentral.
CCUACGGGCGGCAGCAGUGAGGAAUAUUGGUCAAUGGACGAGAGUCUGAACCAGCCAAGUAGCGUGAAGGAUGACUGCCCUAUGGGUUGUAAACUUCUUUUAUAUGGGAAUAAAACGUUCCACGUGUGGGAUUUUGUAUGUACCAUAUGAAUAAGGAUCGGCUAACUCCGUGCCAGCAGCCGCGGUAAUACGGAGGAUCCGAGCGUUAUCCGGAUUUAUUGGGUUUAAAGGGAGCGUAGGUGGAUUGUUAAGUCAGUUGUGAAAGUUUGCGGCUCAACCGUAAAAUUGCAGUUGAAACUGGCAGUCUUGAGUAAAGUAGAGGUGGGCGGAAUUCGUGGUGUAGCGGUGAAAUGCUUAGAUAUCACGAAGAACUCCGAUUGCGAAGGCAGUUCACUGGACUGCAACUGACACUGAGGCUCGAAAGUGUGGGUAUCAAACAGGAUUAGAUACCCUUGUAGUC